GAUGAACGCUGGCGGCGUGCUUAACACAUGCAAGUCGAACGGUGAAGGCGGAGCUUGCUCUGCUGGAUCAGUGGCGAACGGGUGAGAAACACGUGAGCAAUCUGCCCCUGACUCUGGGAUAAGCGCUGGAAACGGCGUCUAAUACUGGAUACGAGCUGCGAAGGCAUCUUCAGCAGCUGGAAAGAACUUCGGUCAGGGAUGAGCUCGCGGCCUAUCAGCUUGUUGGUGAGGUAACGGCUCACCAAGGCGUCGACGGGUAGCCGGCCUGAGAGGGUGACCGGCCACACUGGGACUGAGACACGGCCCAGACUCCUACGGGAGGCAGCAGUGGGGAAUAUUGCACAAUGGGCGAAAGCCUGAUGCAGCAACGCCGCGUGAGGGACGACGGCCUUCGGGUUGUAAACCUCUUUUAGCAGGGAAGAAGCGAAAGUGACGGUACCUGCAGAAAAAGCGCCGGCUAACUACGUG
This 468-nucleotide ribosomal RNA is filed under the name uncultured bacterium. Its description in RNAcentral is "partial 16S ribosomal RNA". It matches the Rfam family "Bacterial small subunit ribosomal RNA", at positions 28 to 507 of the family's 1533-position model. The record is from RNAcentral.